AUUGAACGCUGGCGGCAUGCCUUACACAUGCAAGUCGAACGGCAGCGGACCUUCGGGUGCCGGCGAGUGGCGAACGGGUGAGUAAAGUAUCGGAACGUACCUUUCAGUGGGGGAUAACUGUCCGAAAGGACAGCUAAUACCGCAUAUUCUGUGAGCAGGAAAGCAGGGGAUCGCAAGACCUUGCGCUGAUUGAGCGGCCGAUAUCAGAUUAGCUAGUUGGUGAGGUAAAGGCUCACCAAGGCGACGAUCUGUAGCGGGUCUGAGAGGAUGAUCCGCCACACUGGAACUGAGACACGGUCCAGACUCCUACGGGAGGCAGCAGUGGGGAAUUUUGGACAAUGGGGGCAACCCUGAUCCAGCCAUGCCGCGUGAGUGAAGAAGGCCUGGUUGU
This 391-nucleotide ribosomal RNA is filed under the name uncultured bacterium. RNAcentral's name for it is "bacterial SSU rRNA". It matches the Rfam family "Bacterial small subunit ribosomal RNA", at positions 30 to 426 of the family's 1533-position model. The record is from RNAcentral.